UGGACCGGAAAAGGAGUCUUUCACCCGUGGUUCCACUGGGGCUCGAACCCAGGACCUUCUGCGUGUAAAGCAGACGUGAUAACCACUACACUAUGGAACCUCCCCGAGAGAAACUUGGUAUCAUUAGCUUAUUCAUAGCCUCACAUCUGAACCGGCGCCUCUGCUCAAACCCCGCCCCUCGGCCGUAGCUCCUCCUCCGCCGUGGCUCCGCCCCACCUGCAAGAUAGGGUGUUCGCGGCCAAGUCCCCAGCUCUGGCUGUGGCGUUUUCGCUGCUCGGGCAACCUGCCCGCCUCGUUCGUCAGCACUGUGACCAGAGCGAGGCCAGGGCUGGGGUGACCCUCCUGAGGGCCGCCCCCCUAAUCACCCGUCCAAAGUUUUUUGUCAGUCGCGAGGUCAGCGGGACCUGCCCAGAGGGCAGGCGGAAGCGGACCGUGCCGCGGCCAUGACGGCUCUUAGCCGCUUCCCUCAGCUGGGGAGGGACCCGCGCUUUCCCCCGGUUUAUCCCUGGGCGCCCUGCGCCGCUGCCGGCGGCACGUGGGGGCCUUGAGUCCGGAGCAGGACGGACAGGAGCGCCUCUUGGAGCCAAAGAUGGAGGCAGCGCCGGGUUUGGGUGUGGGCUGGGCCUCGCCGUCACGUCGGCAUUUCCGUUGCCAGGGUUGGAAGAGUCCGCUGGUUAGUGGGCCCCUUGCCCGCGGGUGUAGGCUCCUAAUGGUCCCCCGACAUUUUCACAGCGUUCCUCCUCUCCCGACCCCCCGCCCACGGGAGCUGGAAGUUGCAGGACUUUUGUUGGCCACUAUUUGGGCUGGGGUUGGGCUGGGAGGGGCGGUGUAGACGGUUUACAGCCCUUCCCGGACUGGGGAUGAUGAAGCGGGACCCGCCACGAGAUUUGAGCGGCCCAGUGCAAAAGGAAAAUGCCAGGUUCCUUGUUCAUGAGUUACUAAGGGUCCCCAAACGGUGGUAAGCAGAGCAUUAGACCCAGAGCCGACCCCUGCGACUGCGCAGGUUGUGGCCGGUGAACCUGUCGCGAUGCUUCCGAGACUUCCGGCCCCGCGCCAGGUGCUGGAAACCUCCAUUACAAAGGGCUCCGGUGUGCUCCGGCUUCUUAGUUUUCAGGCUUCUUAGUUUUCAUUGUCACUGCCGUUUCCCCUCCCCAGUGCUUUUGGAUGGAUCUUCGUCACCGUCCUAGGGUUGCUCACCACCCUCAAGCUUAAAAACCCAGCCAAGACACUUUGACGGGCAUCUUUAAGGGCUGAGUUGAAGGAUGGGGCUGUCCUUUCCCCUGGCGUCUUCCUCUGAAGCUGGCAAAGUGAUGGAGACAUGGUACUGAUUGUCUGAAAGCAACCCCGGGAGUCCCGACCUCCUGGGAAGAUCUGUGGAAGAAACAGGGAACGCUUCGCUCAUCUCCCAGCUUUGUGUCUGCCCUUGCUCCAAAGGAUGGGUUCUCCGAGUGCAAGUUUUGGCCAAGUUCCCACACAUGCUCCAUGUAGAAAAGAAGCUGAUGCACCUCUCAUGCGUGCUACGUAGGUUUCUGCCUUUAGUGGAAAAUUCUUGUGCCUUUUUUCCAUUCUGACAAGGAGUAAGACCUUUGUUCCACUUCCCUGCUGCCCUCAGAGUGUAGUCACAUUCUGUUAGUGAAGCACAAGAUUGUUUACAAAGCACUUUCACAUACACUCCUAUGAGGAAGCCAUGAUAAGUAUUACUGUCUUCAUUUUUCAGCUGAGAAAGUUAAAGCUGAUGAAUCUGAAUGCCUUCCCUGAGACCAUUCUGCUUAUACUCAGUCUUCUGAUGCCGAAGUGAUUUUGGGAGGCCCAUGUCCGCAAAGGCCACGUGUGGUUCCUGUAAGAGCGCCCCUGAGUUCUUGUAAUGAUUCAUAUGCACUCAGGGAGGAAACGGAUAACUCUAUUCUUUCCUUUUGUGAUUUUAUUUUUUUAAAGAUUUAUUUAUUUAUUUGAGAGAGAGGGAGAGAGAAUUUUGAGCAGACUCCCUGCAGAGCAUGGAACCUGAAGCAGGGCUCAAUCCCAUGACCCUGUGAAGGGGUCUUGGGCUCGAUCCCAAGACCCUGAGAUCAUGACAUGAGCUGACGCCAAGAGUCAGACCCUCAACCGACUGAGCCACCCAGGGCCCCCUCCCUUGUACUUUUAAGAUCAAGUCCUCAAAAGCAGGAAACAAAAGCCUGCCCAGAAACAACCGUUGGUGACUUUGAUCUUGGAACCAUCAGUGUCAUGGCUAGCCUUUCUUUCAGAUGGCCACAGUUUUGCCUGGUGCUUCAGGCAGUUCAGUUGGAUGUGUGAGGCCUGCCCCCCCCCCCCAAGGUAUGCCUGUAAGCAUCUGAACAACUGUAAGUCAAAUCCAUCAACAGACUAGUAAAUAAGGACUAGAAGUCACUUCAAAGUUUUAAUCCCCUGAUUCCUCAGUUGCUUGGUGUAGCUUCCUCAGCGGAUGGCUUUACUGACGGGGAGCAACUUAGCCAGAGAAACCAUGGUCUCAAACACCGAGCUGACUUACCUGAUUUCAUUUAGAAAGGGUUAUACUCUUUCACUAUCGUGCUCCAGUAUUUACUAAGAAAAUAAGUCAUUACCUUAUUAUGUGAGCUCACCUUAAUCUUCUCCCUUUUGCAGCUCAUCAAGUUCGAAACAUUUGAAAUUAGCCUAUUGGAAUGGGUAUUUGAUAUUUGUUGCUCUUUGCCCCCGUGCCUUUUCAUAGUCCUCUGUAUCCCUCUGUUUUCUUAGCCGGCUCAACUUCUAUGGUCAUUUUUAUCACUUGUUUGCCCUUUUGUUGUACUUGUUGGCAAACCACAGUCUGUAAGGUCCUGCUCUCUCCGUACUCUGCCCUUGUAUAUGGCCCCAAGAGGAACACAUAUCCGGGUCAACCGAUUUCACACUAAAUUCUUGACUACUGACCUCAAGCGAACCCUUAAUGUAGCCUAGAAUCCAGUCUACUUCUUUGUGCAUUCAUUCUCCUCUUCUCCUAAAGGACAAUUUUGUAUCUUCUCUCCGUGAACUUCCUGUACAUCCCUCCCCAGUCUCACUUACAGGUGAUGAACCUGCUGCUUUUUUCAGUAAAGAGAGAGAAGCAAUGAGAAGAGGACUGCCACAAGUCCCCACCACUUCUGCCCAGCCACCGGUAUCUGUGCGAUCAGAGCUCUAGGUCAGGCCUCUCCCUGUAGAUCACAGUAGAUCAGGGCUUCUCAACAGCUGUUUUGACAUUUGGGACUGAGUAACUCUUGGUCAUGGGGGUCGUUCUGUGCAUGGAGGGACGCCUCACAGCGUCCCUGGCCUCUACCCACUUGAUGCCCCCGGCAUUCCUCCCCCCAGUUGUUGGCACCCAAAAUGUCCCCUGGCAGGGGGAGGUCUUGGGGGCCUUUUGGUAACAUUUGCAGAUACUUUUGGUUGUCCCAGCGUGGGUGCAAGGGUUGGUGUGCUAUUGGUGUCUGGGGGUAGAGACCAGGGAUGUGGUGAGAUCCUGCAGGGCACACGACAGGCCGCCGUGGCAAAGCUCUCCCAGUCCUGAAUGUUCCUAGUGCUGUGGUUGAGAAUGCACUGUCCACAUUUCUAUCAAAAUCCAGCCCGCCACCUCUUGUCUACUCCAGGAAAUCACUCCAGCAAGUCCCCUCUCUCCUACAUGAUUAGUUACCUUCUCUGUCAUCGCCUUCUGAUAAACUUACAAACAUGCUGCAGUUUCUCUCAGCGUUAAAAGGAACCCCUGAUCCCCUUUUGGCCUCUAGAUAGUUCAAUUUUUUUAAAGACUUUAUUUAUUUACUUAUUUAUUUGACAGAGAGAGAGAGAGAGAGAGCACAAGCAUGCAGAGAGGCAGGCAGAGGCAGAGAGAGAAGCAGGCCGCCUGCUGAGCAAGGAGCUCAAUGCCGGACUCGAUCCCGGGACCCUGGGAUCAUGACCUGAGCUGAAGGCAGCGUCCCAACCGACAGUCACCCAGGUGACCCUAGUUCAGUUUUUUUGCUGUUUUAUUUUUGUUGUUGUUGUUGUGUUUUUGUUUGCUCUCCUUUGCAACAGAACUCGUAGGAAGAUGUGUCUGUAGGCUCUCUCUCCCAUUCCUCUCCUUUUGGAAGUGCUUUUCCCUUGUGGCUUUUAGGAUACUGCCCUCUCCCGAUUUUUGUUUCCUGCCUUAUAAGUCGCCCCUUCUCGGUCACCUUUGCACUUGGACUUCUUCUAUCUUCAUUCCCACCGCCUGGAUGACCUCAUUCAUUUGUUUUACUUAUUUAUUUAUUUUAGUUUUUUUUUUGUUGUUGUUUAUUUAUUUGGCAAACAGAUCACAAGUAGGCAGAGAGAGAAAGGGGGAAGUAGGCUCCCCGCUGAGCGGAGAGCCUGAUGCGGGGCUCGAUCCCAGGACCCUGAGAUCACAACCUGAGCCGAAGGCAGAGGCUUAACCCAUUGAGCCACCCACAGCUAGAGUGAAAGCUAAGGCCACACAGUAGCUGGCAAGAUGCUGUAUGAUGUGUUCUCUCCCACGUCCAUUACCUGUUGGACUAUAUAACCUAUUACUUUGCCUUUUCUUUUACUCUGUACUCCGGCCACACUUGCCUGCUUGCUGUUCUUCAAACAUGCUGGGCCUCUUCUGCCUCAGGGCCUUUGAACCUGCUGUUCUUGAAUGCUCUUUCCCUAUGCCGUCCCAUUGCUUGCUCUCUGACCUCGCUCAGGUAUUUGCCUAAAUAUCUUGUCAGCAAGCGGUCUCCUGACGGCCCUAUUUACAGUGACUCUCCCCCUGCUCCAGCCUUCUUCACACCGGAAAUGCAGUAUCCCCCUCUCCUGCAUUAUUUUUCUUUGCAACACUUACUACCAUCUCAUUUGCCAGAUAGUUACUUCCUCGUUUUGUUGCUUAUCCCCGGCCACCCUCAACUACAAUGAAAGCAUCAGGAAGGCGUGGAUUAGGUUCUGUUCACUGUUGUGUUCCACAGAGCCUAAGCAGGGCCCCGUACAUAGUAAGGGUCCAGUGAUCCAUUCUUGAAUGAAUGUGUUCAGGGUUGGGGACGAUCGAGUGGAGUCAGUUACUCCCAAUCACAGCUAAUCCUGGGGCUUUUACCUGAACUCUGAGAAGAGACAUUUCCUUGUUCCUCGAUCCUUGACUUGACUGUGAGAUCACCCAGAGGCUGGAGGUUCUGCUGCCGUCUCUGGACUGUUGUAAUGUGUCAGACCAGCGUCUUCGUUGUUCAUAGCACUCGCUGCUCUUCCCCCUAAGGGAUUUUUAAACCAUUUCCCCCACCAUAGACUUGACUGAAUGACUUGCUUUGGCCAGUUGAAUGUUGGCAGAAGUGAUGUGUAUCACUUUCAAGCCAAACUGCGAAGAACCAGCUUGGGAUUUGCCACUUCAUUGUUUCCCUUUACUAUGGGGACAGCAACGCACAGAGAGAGGUUCGCCUGAGUCUUAGAAAAAAGACCCCGGUUGACGGAACUGCAGCCACCAGCCAUGGUGAAAAGUCAAACCUUGAUCGUUGUAAGCCACGAAGAUUUGGGUUCAUCUGUUACUGAAGCCUAACAUCACCUCAGUGGAUUCAACACUUCUGCUAGUUCCACGAGAAAAUGAGUUUAUUAAAGGCUACUUGGUGGUACACAGCAUCUCCCAAAAGGCCCCGGAGAGGCCAGAGCCAGCAAAAAUGUCUUCAUCUUACCUCAUCGCGGGGCUGCACCAACUAAGAUGCCCACUGCUCCCGCUCUGAGUACAGAGGCAGCAACUCAAGCCAGUGAUGGGGCCCCGCAUCCCUGAAAACUGGACCCUCUGGCACUGACGUUGUCACAAGAUGGAUUUCAUCACCCCUUGACUCCUCGAGCUGCCUUCUUAACUGAGGUCUCUGCUGGAGCCCAAGUUACAUCCUGUGCUCUUGCCUGGAGAGAGGUUGGAGAAGCGAAUGUCUUGUUUCUCCUUCGAGGAGGUGGGAGUCAGCGUGGGGAACGGAGAAGUGAGCCAAUGAUCAGAAAGCAUGAAGACAUCGGCUGCCUGCCUGAAGCCUAAGAAAGGAGCGAGGGGUUAGAGCUGAGAACGAGAACGACUGGAUGCCCUCCCGUAAGGCCUCCAACAAGCCAUGCCCUACAUCUACCUGUGGACUCCUCAGUCAUUGGAAGAAGGCAUUCUUGGUUUUGCUCAGGCCGGUUGCAAUUGGGCUCACUGACAUUUGCGAUAAGAGGAGUCCUGACGGUUCAUCGAAAAUGGGUGGGCAGCAGCACAGUGGCUUGCAGUGGGGGUCCUAUCCCAGAUACUCGAAGUUUUGGUUGCCCUUCUGUUCCCAGUAAACGGGGAGACGGCCCAUUCCGGCAGGGCAGGCUUUGGGUUUCAAGGUGUUUGGGGAGCCAGCCCGCAGUGCUCAAACCCAGUGGGGUGCUUGUUCACAGGGAGCACGGUAGCUAGGGCAGGUAGAGGUCGAGAGUGGGCAACACAUCUGGGGUGCCUUUGGUUGCUUGCCCCCAAUUCAUCUUCCUCCUUUUCCUCAAUAAUAAAGAUCACAAUAAACAU
Molecule: long non-coding RNA, 6463 nt
Organism: Mustela lutreola (European mink)
Lineage: Eukaryota; Metazoa; Chordata; Mammalia; Carnivora; Mustelidae
Exons: 2
Source: RefSeq, a predicted model, not a curated record